This 492-nucleotide ribosomal RNA is filed under the name uncultured bacterium. Its description in RNAcentral is "partial 16S ribosomal RNA". It matches the Rfam family "Bacterial small subunit ribosomal RNA", at positions 28 to 507 of the family's 1533-position model. The record is from RNAcentral.
GAUGAACGCUGGCUACAGGCUUAACACAUGCCAGUCGAGGGGAAACGGCAUUGAGUGCUUGCACUGAAUGGACGUCGACCGGCGCACGGGUGAGUAACGCGUAUCCAACCUUCCCGUUACUGCGGGAUAACCUGCCGAAAGGCAGACUAAUACCGCAUGUUCUUCGAUGACGGCAUCAGAUUCGAAGCAAAGAUCCGUCGGUAACGGAGGGGGAUGCGUCUGAUUAGCUAGUUGGCGGGGCGACGGCCCACCAAGGCGACGAUCAGUAGGGGUUCUGAGAGGAAGGUCCCCCACAUUGGAACUGAGACACGGUCCAAACUCCUACGGGAGGCAGCAGUGAGGAAUAUUGGUCAAUGGGCGGAAGCCUGAACCAGCCAAGUAGCGUGCAGGAUGACGGCCCUACGGGUUGUAAACUGCUUUUAUGCGGGGAUAAAGUGAGGGACGCGUCCCUUUUUGCAGGUACCGCAUGAAUAAGGACCGGCUAAUUCCGUG